Molecule: ribosomal RNA, 329 nt
Filed under: uncultured prokaryote
Description: bacterial SSU rRNA
Rfam family: Bacterial small subunit ribosomal RNA
Source: RNAcentral
AGAUUGAACGCUAGCGGCAUGCCUAACACAUGCAAGUCGAACGGUAACAGGCCCUUCGGGGUGCUGACGAGUGGCGGACGGGUGAGUAAUGCGUAGGAAUCUACCCACGAGUGGGGGAGUAGCCCGGACGAAAUACCGGAUUAAUACCGCAUAUGCCCUACCGGGUAAGACGGGGAGUCGUAGACCUCGCGCUGGUGGAUGAGCCUACGUCCGAUUAGUUAGUUGGUGGGGUAAAGGCCUACCAAGGCUACGAUCGGUAGCUGGUCGUGAGAGGACGACCAGCCACACUGGGACUGAGACACGGCCCGAGACUCCUACGGGAGGGCAGC